RNAcentral lists this ribosomal RNA (467 nucleotides) under uncultured bacterium. RNAcentral describes it as "partial 16S ribosomal RNA". It matches the Rfam family "Bacterial small subunit ribosomal RNA", at positions 28 to 506 of the family's 1533-position model. The record is from RNAcentral.
GACGAACGCUGGCGGCGUGCUUAACACAUGCAAGUCGAACGGAAAGGCCCUGCUUUUGUGGGGUGCUCGAGUGGCGAGCGGGGGAGUAACACGUGAGUAAAAUGCCCUUGACUGUGGGAUAAAUUCAGGAAAAUGGGGAUAAUACAGGAUAGGAGCUCCUGCUGCAUGGUGGGGGUUGGAAAGUUUCGGCGGUUGGGGAUGGACUCGCGGCUUAUCAGCUUGUUGGUGGGGUAGUGGCUUACCAAGGCUUUGACGGGUAGCCGGCCUGGGAGGGUGACAGGCCACAUUGGCCCACGGAUACGGCCCGGACUCCUACGGCAGGCAGCGGUGGGAAAUAGUGCACAAUGGGCGGAAUCCUGAUGCAGCAACGCCGCGUGCGAGAUGACUGCCUUCGGGUUGUAAACCGCUUUCGCCUGUGACGAAGCGUGAGUGACGGGAAUGGGUAAAGAAGCACCGGCUACCUACUU